AGCCUGCGGGACCAGUCCCACCAGGGGCACCGGAAACACAGAUGCGGGCAAUUGUAUCCAAUCCGUGGGGAGCUUUCAAAGACCGGGGUCGGUGGCAGCUUGUAGUCCUGGUCAAACACGAUUCCCCGGGGCCUAGCAAGACCAGUGUCCAGCAAGGGGAGGGAGGGGCAGCAUGUGCAGGGUCCUGAGGUCAGAAAGACCCCCCGGGGUGGGGCGGGGCGGGGGAGGAGCCAGAGUCUCAGGCUCAGGCCUGUGCAGGGUUGGACGGCGUGUGGAGCUGAGACGCAGGGAGUGAAGCGCGGGUCCGAGUAGGAGCAGGUAGCCAGUGGUGAGGAGGCCAGCGCUGGCCCUCCGCUGGGAGAUGGCCACGAGCGCCGAGACCAGCGCCAGGACAGGGUCCACGAGCGCAUUUGAGAGUCUGGGGGCUCAGGGGUUCUCUCUCCGCCUCCCAGAGGGGGCUCCGGGCAGACGCGGGCUGCCGAGGCCUGUGCGCCCUCCGCCACCCUGGGCAGGCUGUGUCACCUUGGCCCCGUGUCUGCUACCAGGCUGCUCAGGGAGCUUGUCUGAAGCGAGCGGCUGUGAAGACGCCUGGCCCCCCUUUGCUGUCCUGCACGGCCUGGCCUUCUCGGGGGGCCACGUGGUGUUGGCUCAUCCCCUGCCAGUUGGCUGUCAGGUCGGAGAUGACCACGGGGGCCUAACUCCUGGCGGUGCACACAGGGACAGGACGGCGCAGAGGACGUGGGCACCGAGACUGGGUGGGGCUGAAGCCAGGGGCAGGCGGGACCGGGAAGAGGGGCCUCUCUGCAGAAAAACCCUGGACCGUGAAGGCUGGAGAAAGGAGCGGGAGCCGAGGCCAGGGCCCCAGGCGACACGAGCCUGGGAGCUCAGAGCUGGGGAGGGGACAGCGUCAGACGGAGGCCCGGAUGGAGAGGGGACAGCAUCAGAUGGAGGCCCGGAUGGAGAGGGGACAGCGUCAGAUGGAGGCCUGGCUGGGAGGGGACGGCGUCAGACAGAGGCCUGGCUGGGGAGGGGACAGCGUCAGACAGAGGCCCGGAUGGAGAGGGGACAGCAUGAGACGAAGGCCUGGAUGGACAGAGGGGACAGCGUCAGACGGAGGCCUGGAUGGAGAGGGGACGGCGUCAGACGGAGGCCUGGGUGGAGAGGGGACAGCGUCAGAUGGAGGCCUGGCUGGGGAGGGGACAGCGUCAGACGGAGGCCUGGCUGGGGAGGGGACAGCGUCAGACGGAGGCCUGGAUGGAGAGGGGACAGCGUCAGAUGGAGGCCUGGAUGGAGAGGGGACAGCGUCAGAUGGAGGCCUGGCUNNNNNNNNNNNNNNNNNNN
Molecule: long non-coding RNA, 1341 nt
Filed under: Oryctolagus cuniculus (rabbit)
Lineage: Eukaryota; Metazoa; Chordata; Mammalia; Lagomorpha; Leporidae
Description: lncRNA (ENSOCUG00000039337.1)
Source: RNAcentral